RNAcentral lists this ribosomal RNA (331 nucleotides) under uncultured bacterium. RNAcentral describes it as "bacterial SSU rRNA". It matches the Rfam family "Bacterial small subunit ribosomal RNA", at positions 568 to 898 of the family's 1533-position model. The record is from RNAcentral.
CGCGUAGGCGGCGUCGGAAGUCAGGCGUGAAAGCCCCGGGCUCAACCUGGGAACUGCGUUUGAUACUCCGAUGCUUGAGUUCGGGAGAGGAGAGUGGAAUUCCCAGUGUAGAGGUGAAAUUCGUAGAUAUUGGGAAGAACACCGGUGGCGAAGGCGGCUCUCUGGACCGAUACUGACGCUGAGGCGCGAAAGCGUGGGGAGCAAACAGGAUUAGAUACCCUGGUAGUCCACGCUGUAAACGAUGUGUGCUAGACGUUGGGAGGCUUAGCCUUUCGGUGUCGCAGCAAACGCUUUAAGCACACCGCCUGGGGAGUACGGCCGCAAGGUUAAA